GAUGAACGCUGGCGGCGUGCCUAAUACAUGCAAGUCGAGCGAACAGAUAAGGAGCUUGCUCCUUUGACGUUAGCGGCGGACGGGUGAGUAACACGUGGAUAACCUACCUAUAAGACUGGGAUAACUUCGGGAAACCGGAGCUAAUACCGGAUAACAUAUUGAACCGCAUGGUUCAAUAGUGAAAGGCGGCUUUGCUGUCACUUAUAGAUGGAUCCGCGCCGUAUUAGCUAGUUGGUAAGGUAACGGCUUACCAAGGCAACGAUACGUAGCCGACCUGAGAGGGUGAUCGGCCACACUGGAACUGAGACACGGUCCAGACUCCUACGGGAGGCAGCAGUAGGGAAUCUUCCGCAAUGGGCGAAAGCCUGACGGAGCAACGCCGCGUGAGUGAUGAAGGUCUUCGGAUCGUAAAACUCUGUUAUCAGGGAAGAACAAAUGUGUAAGUAACUGUGCACAUCUUGACGGUACCUGAUCAGAAAGCCACGGCUAACUACGUGCCAGCAGCCGCGGUAAUACGUAGGUGGCAAGCGUUAUCCGGAAUUAUUGGGCGUAAAGCGCGCGUAGGCGGUUUUUUAAGUCUGAUGUGAAAGCCCACGGCUCAACCGUGGAGGGUCAUUGGAAACUGGAAAACUUGAGUGCAGAAGAGGAAAGUGGAAUUCCAUGUGUAGCGGUGAAAUGCGCAGAGAUAUGGAGGAACACCUCUGGCGAAGGCGACUUGUCUGGUCUGUAACUGACGCUGAUGUGCGAAAGCGUGGGGAUCAAACAGGAUUAGAUACCCUGGUAGUCCACGCCGUAAACGAUGAGUGCUAAGUGUUAGGGGGUUUCCGCCCCUUAGUGCUGCAGCUAACGCAUUAAGCACUCCGCCUGGGGAGUACGACCGCAAGGUUGAAACUCAAAGGAAUUGACGGGGACCCGCACAAGCGGUGGAGCAUGUGGUUUAAUUCGAAGCAACGCGAAGAACCUUACCAAAUCUUGACAUCCUUUGACCGCUCUAGAGAUAGAGUCUUCCCCUUCGGGGGACAAAGUGACAGGUGGUGCAUGGUUGUCGUCAGCUCGUGUCGUGAGAUGUUGGGUUAAGUCCCGCAACGAGCGCAACCCUUAAGCUUAGUUGCCAUCAUUAAGUUGGGCACUCUAAGUUGACUGCCGGUGACAAACCGGAGGAAGGUGGGGAUGACGUCAAAUCAUCAUGCCCCUUAUGAUUUGGGCUACACACGUGCUACAAUGGACAAUACAAAGGGCAGCUAAACCGCGAGGUCAAGCAAAUCCCAUAAAGUUGUUCUCAGUUCGGAUUGUAGUCUGCAACUCGACUACAUGAAGCUGGAAUCGCUAGUAAUCGUAGAUCAGCAUGCUACGGUGAAUACGUUCCCGGGUCU
This 1373-nucleotide ribosomal RNA is filed under the name uncultured bacterium. RNAcentral's name for it is "bacterial SSU rRNA". It matches the Rfam family "Bacterial small subunit ribosomal RNA", at positions 28 to 1381 of the family's 1533-position model. The record is from RNAcentral.